GUAGGUGGCAAGCGUUGUCCGGAAUUAUUGGGCGUAAAGCGCGCGCAGGUGGUUCUUUAAGUCUGAUGUGAAAGCCCCCGGGCUCAACCGGGGAGGGUCAUUGGAAACUGGGGAACUUGAGUGCAGGAGAGGAAAGUGGAAUUCCACGUGUAGCGGUGAAAUGCGUAGAUAUGUGGAGGAACACCAGUGGCGAAGGCGACUUUCUGGCCUGUAACUGACACUGAGGCGCGAAAGCGUGGGGAGCAAACAGGAUUAGAUACCCUGGUAGUCCACGCCGUAAACGAUGAGAGCUAAGUGUUGGGGGGUUUCCGCCCCUCAGUGCUGCAGCUAACGCAUUAAGCACUCCGCCUGGGGAGUACGGUCGCAAAGACUG
This 373-nucleotide ribosomal RNA is filed under the name uncultured organism. Its description in RNAcentral is "partial 16S ribosomal RNA". It matches the Rfam family "Bacterial small subunit ribosomal RNA", at positions 527 to 896 of the family's 1533-position model. The record is from RNAcentral.